AUACGGAGGAUCCGAGCGUUAUCCGGAUUUAUUGGGUUUAAAGGGUGCGUAGGUGGUUUGAUAAGUCAGCGGUGAAAGUUUGCAGCUUAACUGUAAAAAUGCCGUUGAAACUGUCGGACUUGAGUGUAAAUGAGGUAGGCGGAAUGCGUGGUGUAGCGGUCAAAUGCAUAGAUAUCACGCAGAACUCCGAUUGCGAAGGCAGCUUACUAAGCUACAACUGACACUGAAGCACGAAAGCGUGGGGAUCAAACAGGAUUAAAUACCCUGGUAGUCCACGCAGUAAACGAUGAUUACUAGCUGUUUGCGAUACACAGUAAGCGGCACAGCGAAAGCGUUAAGUAAUCCACCUGGGGAGUACGCCGGCAACGGUGAAACUCAAAUGAAUUGACGGG
This 392-nucleotide ribosomal RNA is filed under the name uncultured bacterium. RNAcentral describes it as "partial 16S ribosomal RNA". It matches the Rfam family "Bacterial small subunit ribosomal RNA", at positions 523 to 917 of the family's 1533-position model. The record is from RNAcentral.